This 1356-nucleotide long non-coding RNA is filed under the name Sus scrofa (pig). RNAcentral's name for it is "lncRNA (ENSSSCG00050020736.1)". Lineage: Eukaryota; Metazoa; Chordata; Mammalia; Artiodactyla; Suidae. The record is from RNAcentral.
UAUAAUACAUGUAAUAUAUAUGUGCUGUAUAAAAUAUUAUGUUUAAGGGAAAAGUGGGUCAUUCUGGCUCCUGCAUGGAGAAAGAGUUGAAAGAAGCAUGAGAAGAAGCCAUGAGACUUGUUAGGGGCUAUCUCAGUUCCCAGGUGAGGCCAUUCAUCCCUCCACUGUGCACCCUCUGGAAAACUGAGCAAGACACAGCCUGCCAGUCACACUUGCCCAGCAGCCGACACACUCUGUGCACAUGGAGAGUUAUACAUCACAGCAAAGUGAGGACUGAACUGGAAAUGGAUGAACCUUGCCAAGUCAAUACUCUCUUUCUGCUAUAUUUGGAUGGUCUCCAACCCAAGCAUAAAUAAUUACCUUGAAUACCACCCCACCUCAGCCUCAUUCAGCUGUGUGGUUUAGCUCUGCCACAUUUUGGUAAGUAUCUUUCAACUCUAUAGCCUUUAGAGUUUGUUAUAAACACACAUAUACAUAUAUUGUAUACAUAUUCUCUUAUAUAGAGAUACUUAUAUAAGCACUAUACUUACUUAUAUAGUAUCUGAUUCUGUUUGCCUAUCCUCAACAAUUACAGCAGCUUAUGAAGAGCAAUAUAUAAGUUUUCUAUGUUUUUUUUUUUUUUUAUGAUAGGGAUGGAGUAGGUUAGUUACACAGGUAGUUGUGGAAGUCCCAGUAAGGGACCAUAGAUGGAGAGGGAAACCUAGGGGACUUUUUGAGAUCACUGUAAGUUAAUUAAUUGCUCAAGAAAGUCAUUAGAAGGAGGCAGGCAUGAGAUAUGCCUUAGGUCAUUGGGUGGGGGGUUGGGUGAGACUGGUACUCAGGGUCAGACCAAGGGCAGGAUUUUAAGGACCACCUUUCUGCUGAUUUGAAUUCAAGUUUAGUUUUGAUCAGUUUUCUCUUACUGAAUACCAAGGAGGAGCUACUAUUUAAAGAAAGAGGAAGAGGCAGUCUUUUCCCACCCCUACCCCCCUUGGAUUAUAAAACUGUAGCCCUCCUACUAAUCCUCCUUGACUGCCUGCUUGCCUCCCUCACAAGCGUCCUAUCUUAACACAUCUAUUUCUUGCCUAUCACUUUGUCUCUCACUGAAUUCCUUCCGUGUGGAGGCACAGAGAACCUGAACCUCAGGAAGUCCAGACACUGGGUGAGUGAUUCUAAUUUAAAAGCUGGGUUCAAGUCCCAGUCUGGGUUUAGGCUAGGUUCAAGUCCUGGCACGUGGGUUCUGGUCAGGUUCAAGUCUUUAGUGUUGUCAGUUUCAGCCACACCUUUGGCAUAUGGAAGUUCCUGGGCCAGGGAUAGAAUCUGAGCUGCAGCUACGGCAACACCGGAUUCUUUAACCCACUGUGCCAAGCUGGGGAU